This 434-nucleotide ribosomal RNA is filed under the name uncultured Clostridium sp. RNAcentral's name for it is "partial 16S ribosomal RNA". It matches the Rfam family "Bacterial small subunit ribosomal RNA", at positions 341 to 792 of the family's 1533-position model. RNAcentral also lists the same sequence under 2 other names. The record is from RNAcentral. Lineage: Bacteria; Bacillati; Bacillota; Clostridia; Eubacteriales; Clostridiaceae.
ACGGAAGGCAGCAGUGGGGAAUAUUGCACAAUGGGGGAAACCCUGAUGCAGCGACGCCGCGUGAGUGAAGAAGUAUUUCGGUAUGUAAAGCUCUAUCAGCAGGAAAGAAAAUGACGGUACCUGACUAAGAGGCCCCGGCUAACUACGUGCCAGCAGCCGCGGUAAUACGUAGGGGGCAAGCGUUAUCCGGAUUUACUGGGUGUAAAGGGAGCGUAGACGGCUUUGCAAGUCUGAAGUGAAAGCCCGGGGCUCAACCCCGGAACUGCUUUGGAAACUGUAGAGCUAGAGUGCAGGAGAGGUAAGUGGAAUUCCUAGUGUAGCGGUGAAAUGCGUAGAUAUUAGGAGGAACACCAGUGGCGAAGGCGGCUUACUGGACUGUAACUGACGUUGAGGCUCGAAGGCGUGGGGAGCAAACAGGAUUAGAUACCCUGGUA